This 2899-nucleotide ribosomal RNA is filed under the name Klebsiella pneumoniae. Its description in RNAcentral is "23S ribosomal RNA". It matches the Rfam family "Bacterial large subunit ribosomal RNA". Lineage: Bacteria; Pseudomonadati; Pseudomonadota; Gammaproteobacteria; Enterobacterales; Enterobacteriaceae. The record is from RNAcentral.
UUAAGCGACUAAGCGUACACGGUGGAUGCCCUGGCAGUCAGAGGCGAUGAAGGACGUGCUAAUCUGCGAAAAGCGUCGGUAAGGUGAUAUGAACCGUUAUAGCCGGCGAUGUCCGAAUGGGGAAACCCAGUGUGAUUCGUCACACUAUCGUUAACUGAAUACAUAGGUUAACGAGGCGAACCGGGGGAACUGAAACAUCUAAGUACCCCGAGGAAAAGAAAUCAACCGAGAUUCCCCCAGUAGCGGCGAGCGAACGGGGAGCAGCCCAGAGUCUGAAUCAGCUUGUGUGUUAGUGGAACGGUCUGGAAAGUCCGACGGUACAGGGUGAUAGUCCCGUACACCAAAAUGCACAGGCUGUGAACUCGAAGAGUAGGGCGGGACACGUGGUAUCCUGUCUGAAUAUGGGGGGACCAUCCUCCAAGGCUAAAUACUCCUGACUGACCGAUAGUGAACCAGUACCGUGAGGGAAAGGCGAAAAGAACCCCGGCGAGGGGAGUGAAAAAGAACCUGAAACCGUGUACGUACAAGCAGUGGGAGCACCUUCGGGUGUGACUGCGUACCUUUUGUAUAAUGGGUCAGCGACUUAUAUUCUGUAGCAAGGUUAACCGUAUAGGGGAGCCGCAGGGAAACCGAGUCUUAACUGGGCGUUAAGUUGCAGGGUAUAGACCCGAAACCCGGUGAUCUAGCCAUGGGCAGGUUGAAGGUUGGGUAACACUAACUGGAGGACCGAACCGACUAAUGUUGAAAAAUUAGCGGAUGACUUGUGGCUGGGGGUGAAAGGCCAAUCAAACCGGGAGAUAGCUGGUUCUCCCCGAAAGCUAUUUAGGUAGCGCCUCGUGAAUUCAUCUUCGGGGGUAGAGCACUGUUUCGGCUAGGGGGUCAUCCCGACUUACCAACCCGAUGCAAACUACGAAUACCGAAGAAUGUUAUCACGGGAGACACACGGCGGGUGCUAACGUCCGUCGUGAAGAGGGAAACAACCCAGACCGCCAGCUAAGGUCCCAAAGUCAUGGUUAAGUGGGAAACGAUGUGGGAAGGCACAGACAGCCAGGAUGUUGGCUUAGAAGCAGCCAUCAUUUAAAGAAAGCGUAAUAGCUCACUGGUCGAGUCGGCCUGCGCGGAAGAUGUAACGGGGCUAAACCAUGCACCGAAGCUGCGGCAGCGACACUAUGUGUUGUUGGGUAGGGGAGCGUUCUGUAAGCCUGCGAAGGUGUGCUGUGAGGCAUGCUGGAGGUAUCAGAAGUGCGAAUGCUGACAUAAGUAACGAUAAAGCGGGUGAAAAGCCCGCUCGCCGGAAGACCAAGGGUUCCUGUCCAACGUUAAUCGGGGCAGGGUGAGUCGACCCCUAAGGCGAGGCCGAAAGGCGUAGUCGAUGGGAAACAGGUUAAUAUUCCUGUACUUGGUGUUACUGCGAAGGGGGGACGGAGAAGGCUAUGUUAGCCGGGCGACGGUUGUCCCGGUUUAAGCAUGUAGGCUGGUUGUCCAGGCAAAUCCGGAUAAUCAAGGCUGAGGUGUGAUGACGAGGUACUACGGUGCUGAAGUAACAAAUGCCCUGCUUCCAGGAAAAGCCUCUAAGCAUCAGGUAACAUCAAAUCGUACCCCAAACCGACACAGGUGGUCAGGUAGAGAAUACCAAGGCGCUUGAGAGAACUCGGGUGAAGGAACUAGGCAAAAUGGUGCCGUAACUUCGGGAGAAGGCACGCUGGUGUGUAGGUGAAGUCCCUGCGGAUGGAGCUGAGACCAGUCGAAGAUACCAGCUGGCUGCAACUGUUUAUUAAAAACACAGCACUGUGCAAACACGAAAGUGGACGUAUACGGUGUGACGCCUGCCCGGUGCCGGAAGGUUAAUUGAUGGGGUUAUCCGUAAGGAGAAGCUCUUGAUCGAAGCCCCGGUAAACGGCGGCCGUAACUAUAACGGUCCUAAGGUAGCGAAAUUCCUUGUCGGGUAAGUUCCGACCUGCACGAAUGGCGUAAUGAUGGCCAGGCUGUCUCCACCCGAGACUCAGUGAAAUUGAACUCGCUGUGAAGAUGCAGUGUACCCGCGGCAAGACGGAAAGACCCCGUGAACCUUUACUAUAGCUUGACACUGAACAUUGAGCCUUGAUGUGUAGGAUAGGUGGGAGGCUUUGAAGCGUGGACGCCAGUCUGCGUGGAGCCAACCUUGAAAUACCACCCUUUAAUGUUUGAUGUUCUAACGUUGGCCCCUUACCGGGGUUGCGGACAGUGUCUGGUGGGUAGUUUGACUGGGGCGGUCUCCUCCCAAAGCGUAACGGAGGAGCACGAAGGUUAGCUAAUCCUGGUCGGACAUCAGGAGGUUAGUGCAAUGGCAUAAGCUAGCUUGACUGCGAGCGUGACGGCGCGAGCAGGUGCGAAAGCAGGUCAUAGUGAUCCGGUGGUUCUGAAUGGAAGGGCCAUCGCUCAACGGAUAAAAGGUACUCCGGGGAUAACAGGCUGAUACCGCCCAAGAGUUCAUAUCGACGGCGGUGUUUGGCACCUCGAUGUCGGCUCAUCACAUCCUGGGGCUGAAGUAGGUCCCAAGGGUAUGGCUGUUCGCCAUUUAAAGUGGUACGCGAGCUGGGUUUAGAACGUCGUGAGACAGUUCGGUCCCUAUCUGCCGUGGGCGCUGGAGAAUUGAGGGGGGCUGCUCCUAGUACGAGAGGACCGGAGUGGACGCAUCACUGGUGUUCGGGUUGUCAUGCCAAUGGCACUGCCCGGUAGCUAAAUGCGGAAGAGAUAAGUGCUGAAAGCAUCUAAGCACGAAACUUGCCCCGAGAUGAGUUCUCCCUGAGACUUUAAGUCUCCUGAAGGAACGUUAAAGACGAUGACGUUGAUAGGCCGGGUGUGUAAGCGCAGCGAUGCGUUGAGCUAACCGGUACUAAUGAACCGUGAGGCUUAACCU